UACGUAGGGCGCAAGCGUUGUCCGGAAUUAUUGGGCGUAAAGAGCUCGUAGGCGGUCUGUCGCGUCUGGUGUGAAAUCCCAUGGCUCAACUGUGGGCUUGCAUCGGGUACGGGCAGACUAGAGUGCUGUAGGGGAGACUGGAAUUCCUGGUGUAGCGGUGGAAUGCGCAGAUAUCAGGAGGAACACCGGUGGCGAAGGCGGUUCUCUGGGCAUGUCCUGACGCUGAGGAGCGAAAGUGUGGGGAGCGAACAGG
This 253-nucleotide ribosomal RNA is filed under the name uncultured bacterium. Its description in RNAcentral is "partial 16S ribosomal RNA". It matches the Rfam family "Bacterial small subunit ribosomal RNA", at positions 524 to 776 of the family's 1533-position model. The record is from RNAcentral.